UAAUAAGCAAGAAAGGGCGCAUGGUGGAUGCCUUGGCACGGGCAGGCGAUGAAGGACGUGAUAAGCUGCGAUAAGCCACGGGGAGCUGCAAACAAGCUCGGAUCCGUGGAUCUCCGAAUGGGGCAACCCGGCACUUUCUGAGUGUCAUCCUUGGGCUGAAUACAUAGGCCCUUGGAAGCGAACCCGGGGAACUGAAACAUCUAAGUACCCGGAGGAAAAGAAAACAAUAGUGAUUCCCCAAGUAGUGGCGAGCGAACGGGGAACAGCCUAAACUGAUGUGGUCUCGGCUGCAUCGGGGUUGUAGGGCUUGCAAUAUGGAUCAGGCGUUGAAGAGGAAUCCUGCUGGAAAGCGGAACCGAAGAAGGUGAAAGUCCUGUACGCGUAAGACAAAUGAUCCUAGCGAUGUCCCUGAGUACCACGGGGUCGGAGAAGCCUUGUGGGAAGCUACCAGCACCAUCUGGUAAGGCUAAAUACUAAUCCGUGACCGAUAGUGAACCAGUACCGUGAGGGAAAGGUGAAAAGAACGCCUAGUCGGCGAGUGAAAUAGUACCUGAAACCAUGCGCUUACAACCAGUCGGAGCCUGAUUUAUCCAUUCAUUUGGAUAAGGAGGGUGACGGCGUGCCUUUUGCAUAAUGAGCCUACGAGUUACACCUCACUGGCAAGGUUAAGUGCUUCUGGCACGGAGCCGUAGCGAAAGCGAGUCUGAAUAGGGCGCCACAGUCAGUGGGGGUAGACGCGAAACCGAGUGAGCUACCUAUGGGCAGGGUGAAGCGUGGGUAAGACCACGUGGAGGCCCGAACCGCAGUACGUUGAAAAGUGCCCGGAUGACCUGUGGGUAGGGGUGAAAGGCCUAUCAAACUCGGAAAUAGCUCGUACUCCCCGAAAUGUAUUUGGGUACAGCGUCGCAAUAGUGUAUCGGAGGUAGAGCACUGAUUGGGCUAGGGCCCUUCACCGGGUACCAACCCCAGACAAACUCCGAAUGCCGAUACUACGUUUUGCGGCAGUGAGGGCAUGGGUGCUAAGGUCCAUGUCCGAGAGGGGAACAACCCAGACCGACAGCUAAGGUCCCCAAGUUCAGUCUAAGUUGAUCAAAGGAGGUCGGAUUGCUGAAACAACCAGGAUGUUGGCUUGGAAGCAGCCAUUCAUUUAAAGAGUGCGUAAUAGCUCACUGGUCGAGCGAUCCGGCAUCGAAAAUUUGCGGGCAUUAAGACUGGCACCGAAGCUCCGGGUUUCCUAUCGGAAGCGGUAGGGGAGCAUUCCAGCGGCGGCAAAGCAGUACUGCGAGGUGCUGUGGAGCUUCUGGAAAAGAAAAUGUAGGCAUGAGUAACGAUAAGACAGGUGAGAAACCUGUCCGCCGUAAGCCUUAGGGUUCCUGUUCAACGUUAAUCGGAACAGGGUUAGUCGGGACCUAAGCCGAGGCCGAAAGGCGUAGGCGAUGGAAAACGGGUCAAUAUUCCCGUACCACCAACAAGCAAUAGAGUAAGGCGUGACGCAGAAGCGUAAGGUCCGCGCACAGACGGAUGUGCGUUGAAGUGCGUAGGCUGGAUGGGUAGGCAAAUCCGCCCGUCCGCUAAGGCUGAACCACGACAGUAGCGGGAGUCUUCGGACGAACGCAUAGUGGCCCCAAGUAUGCUGCCAAGAAAAGCGUCGUAUUCUGCUCAAGGUGCCCGUACCGUAAACCGACACAGGUAGGCGAGGAGAGUAUCCUCAGGCGCUCGAGUGAUCCGUGGCUAAGGAACUAGGCAAAAUUGCUCCGUAACUUCGGGAGAAGGAGCGCCUCCCUCUAUUAAAAGCGGGGGGAGGCCGCAGUGAAAAGACCCAAGCGACUGUUUAACAAAAACACAGCUCUCUGCUAAAUCGCAAGAUGAUGUAUAGGGAGUGACACCUGCCCGGUGCCGGAAGGUUAAGGAAGGGGGUUAGCUGCUUGCAGCGAAGCUCACGACUGAAGCCCCGGUAAACGGCGGCCGUAACUAUAACGGUCCUAAGGUAGCGAAAUUCCUUGUCGGGU
This 2009-nucleotide ribosomal RNA is filed under the name Rhodothermaceae bacterium. RNAcentral describes it as "partial 23S ribosomal RNA". It matches the Rfam family "Bacterial large subunit ribosomal RNA", at positions 1 to 1977 of the family's 2925-position model. The record is from RNAcentral. Lineage: Bacteria; Pseudomonadati; Rhodothermota; Rhodothermia; Rhodothermales; Rhodothermaceae.